Molecule: ribosomal RNA, 1162 nt
Filed under: Botrytis cinerea
Lineage: Eukaryota; Fungi; Ascomycota; Leotiomycetes; Helotiales; Sclerotiniaceae
Description: eukaryotic LSU rRNA
Rfam family: Eukaryotic large subunit ribosomal RNA (bases 511-1162)
Source: RNAcentral
UAGAGGAAGUAAAAGUCGUAACAAGGUUUCCGUAGGUGAACCUGCGGAAGGAUCAUUACAGAGUUCAUGCCCGAAAGGGUAGACCUCCCACCCUUGUGUAUUAUUACUUUGUUGCUUUGGCGAGCUGCCUUCGGGCCUUGUAUGCUCGCCAGAGAAUACCAAAACUCUUUUUAUUAAUGUCGUCUGAGUACUAUAUAAUAGUUAAAACUUUCAACAACGGAUCUCUUGGUUCUGGCAUCGAUGAAGAACGCAGCGAAAUGCGAUAAGUAAUGUGAAUUGCAGAAUUCAGUGAAUCAUCGAAUCUUUGAACGCACAUUGCGCCCCUUGGUAUUCCGGGGGGCAUGCCUGUUCGAGCGUCAUUUCAACCCUCAAGCUUAGCUUGGUAUUGAGUCUAUGUCAGUAAUGGCAGGCUCUAAAAUCAGUGGCGGCGCCGCUGGGUCCUGAACGUAGUAAUAUCUCUCGUUACAGGUUCUCGGUGUGCUUCUGCCAAAACCCAAAUUUUUCUAUGGUUGACCUCGGAUCAGGUAGGGAUACCCGCUGAACUUAAGCAUAUCAAUAAGCGGAGGAAAAGAAACCAACAGGGAUUACCUCAGUAACGGCGAGUGAAGCGGUAAAAGCUCAAAUUUGAAAUCUGGCUCUUUUAGAGUCCGAAUUGUAAUUUGUAGAAGAUGCUUCGGGUGUGGUUCCGGUCUAAGUUCCUUGGAACAGGACGUCAUAGAGGGUGAGAAUCCCGUAUGUGACUGGAUACCUAUGCUCAUGUGAAGCUCUUUCGACGAGUCGAGUUGUUUGGGAAUGCAGCUCAAAAUGGGAGGUAUAUUUCUUCUAAAGCUAAAUAUUGGCCAGAGACCGAUAGCGCACAAGUAGAGUGAUCGAAAGAUGAAAAGCACUUUGGAAAGAGAGUUAAACAGUACGUGAAAUUGUUGAAAGGGAAGCGCUUGCAAUCAGACUUGCACUUGGUGUUCAUCAGGGUCUCGUACCCUGUGUACUUCAUCAAGUUCAGGCCAGCAUCAGUUUGAGUGGUUAGAUAAAGGCUUAGAGAAUGUGGCCCUCUUCGGGGGGUGUUAUAGCUCUAGGUGCAAUGUAGCCUACUUGGACUGAGGACCGCGCUUCGGCUAGGAUGCUGGCGUAAUGGUUGUAAGCGACCCGUCUUGAAACACGGACC